This is a long non-coding RNA of Gorilla gorilla gorilla (western lowland gorilla), 2314 nucleotides long. RefSeq lists it as uncharacterized. Lineage: Eukaryota; Metazoa; Chordata; Mammalia; Primates; Hominidae. The transcript is spliced from 6 exons. The record is from RefSeq and is a predicted model, not a curated record.
GCUCAGGUGGGACCAUCCAGUUUCAGGAAAACAAGCUUAACACGCCCACUGAUUCUACAUUAUGCUCCUACCUCCCGGCAGUCUCGCCAGGCCCAGAACUCUCUCCAGUCAGCCUCUACAGACCAAGCUCAUGACUCACAAUGGCCUAUUUAGGCCCAUACCCUACCUCACGGCAGUCUCCGCAGAUGAGCCUACUGCCUCACAACAGCCUCCACAGGCACAGCUCCAUCGUUACAAUGGCCUCUUUAGACCCAGCUCCUGCCUCCCAGCCUUCUCUCCAGGCCCUGAACUUUCUCCGUGAGACCAUCCAGUUUCAGGAAAACAAGCUUAACACGCCCACUGAUUCUACAUUAUGCUCCUACCUCCCGGCAGCCUCGCCAGGCCCAGAACUCUCUCCAGUCAGCCUCUACAGACCAAGCUCAUGACUCACAAUGGCCUAUUUAGGCCCAUACCCUACCUCACGGCAGUCUCCGCAGAUGAGCCUACUGCCUCACAACAGCCUCCACAGGCACAGCUCCGUCGUUACAAUGGCCUCUUUAGACCCAGCUCCUGCCUCCCAGCCUUCUCUCCAGGCCCUGAACUUCCUCCGUGGGACCAUCCAGUUUCAGGAAAACAAGCUUAACACGCCCACUGAUUCUACAUUAUGAUUCUUCAGGCCCAGCAUCUGCCUCACUGUGGACCCCCCAAGCCAAGCUCCCAACCUUUCAGCAGCUUCUACACACCCAGCUCCCGCCUGCCAGUGGCCUCUUCAGGCCCAUGGGGCUCAUUCCUCACAACAGCCUUUCCAGUCCCAGUUUUUCCCUUCCGGCGGCCUCUCCGGGCUGAGAACCUCCUCAAGUCGGCCUCUCCAGACUCACUUGCACCCUCCAGGCGUCCUCUCCGGGCCAAGCUCCUCUUCCUGGCUGAGUCUCCAGGCCUGACUCCUGCCUCUCAACAACCUCUUUGGACUCAGUGCCUACCCAUCUCCUGGCGUCCUUGGUCGGCCCACAGCUUCCUCAAGCCAAGCUCCCCAGGCCCAGGUCAGGCCUCACGGUGCCCCCUCCACGAUGAGCUCCUGCCCUCCAAUGGCACCUGCAGGACCCAAAUGGUCUCCGGUCGGUGGGCUCCUCCACGCCAAGUUUGGGCCUCCCGGUGACCUCUGCAGGCCCAAGUUGUCCUGAAGUCGGCAUCUCCCAGCCAUGCCUCCCAGCAAGUAAGCAAGCUCUUUUGGCUCAACUCCUGCCCAGCUCCCAACCGCCUUUGUAGGUCCCGAACUUUCUCCAGCCAAGUUCUUUGGGCCUCAUUCCUGCCGCCCGGUGGCCUGUACGGGCCCAGCAAUGGUUGGAGAACGGCCUCUGCAGGUCCCGCUCUUGCCUCCCAGGGGCCUCUCCAGGCCCAGCUCUUGCCCCCACGGCGGCCACCUGGGGCCAAGUCCCUGCCUGCCUCCCAGCAGCCCGCAUGCGGCCCAGCUCCUCCCUCACGGUGGCCUGUUGAUGCCCAUGCCUCUGGUACCCUGCCCAGAGGCAUGAGCCCCUGCCACACACUGGCUCCUCCCAUGCUGAGAGAGGUCAGCGUGAGCCCUUGCCUCACACCGGCCCCUCCCAUCCUGAGAGAGGUCAGCGUGAGCCCCUUGACUCACACUGGCUCCUCCCACGCUGAGAGAGGUCAGCGUGAGCCCUUGCCUCACACCGGCCCCUCCCAUGCUGAGAGAGGUCGGCGUGAGCCCUUGACUCACACCGGCCCCUCCCACGGUGAGAGAGGUCAGCGUCAGCCCCUUGCCUCACACCGGCCCCUCCCACGCUGAGAGAGGUCGGCGUGAGUCCUUGCCUCACACCGGCCCCUCCCACAGUGAGAGAGGUCAGCGUCAGCCCCUUGCCUCACACCGGCCCCUCCCACGCUGAGAGAGGUCAGCGUCAGCCCCUUGCCUCACACCGGCCCCUCCCACGGUGAGAGAGGUCAACAUGAGCCCCUUGCCUCACACCGGCCCCUCCCACGCUGAGAGAGGUCGGCGUCAGCCCCUUGCCUCACACCGGCCCCUCCCACGCUGAGAGAGGUUGGCGUGAGCCCCUUGCCUCACACCGGCCCCUCCCACGCUGAGAGAGGUCGGCGUCAGCCCCUUGCCUCACACCGGCCCCUCCCACGCUGAGAGAGGUUGGCGUGAGCCCCUUGCCUCACACCGGCCCCUCCCACGCUGAGAGAGGUCGGCGUCAGCCCCUUGCCUCACACCGGCCCCUCCCACGCUGAGAGAGGUUGGCGUGAGCCCCUUGCCUCACACCGGCCCCUCCCACGCUGAGAGAGGUCAACAUGAGCCCCUUGCCUCACACCGGCCCCUCCC